RNAcentral lists this transfer RNA (70 nucleotides) under Polypterus palmas polli. RNAcentral's name for it is "tRNA-Gly". It matches the Rfam family "tRNA". From Rfam's summary of the family: Transfer RNA (tRNA) molecules are approximately 80 nucleotides in length. Their secondary structure includes four short double-helical elements and three loops (D, anti-codon, and T loops). Lineage: Eukaryota; Metazoa; Chordata; Cladistia; Polypteriformes; Polypteridae. The record is from RNAcentral.
AUCUUUCUAGUAUUAAUAAGUACAAAUGACUUCCAAUUAUUUAGUCUUGGUUAAACUCCAAGGAAAGAUA